GACGAACGCUGGCGGCGUGCUUAACACAUGCAAGUCGAACGGAAAGGCCCUGCUUUUGUGGGGUGCUCGAGUGGCGAACGGGUGAGUAACACGUGAGUAACCUGCCCUUGACUUUGGGAUAACUUCAGGAAACUGGGGCUAAUACCGGAUAGGAGCUCCUGCUGCAUGGUGGGGGUUGGAAAGUUUCGGCGGUUGGGGAUGGACUCGCGGCUUAUCAGCUUGUUGGUGGGGUAGUGGCUUACCAAGGCUUUGACGGGUAGCCGGCCUGAGAGGGUGACCGGCCACAUUGGGACUGAGAUACGGACCAGACUCCUACGGGAGGCAGCAGUGGGGAAUAGUGCACAAUGGGCGGAAGCCUGAUGCAGCAACGCCGCGUGCGGGAGGACGGCCUUCGGGUGGUAAACCGCUUUCGCCUGUGACGAAGCGUGAGUGACGGUAAUGGGUAAAGAAGCACCGGCUAACUACGU
This 467-nucleotide ribosomal RNA is filed under the name uncultured bacterium. Its description in RNAcentral is "partial 16S ribosomal RNA". It matches the Rfam family "Bacterial small subunit ribosomal RNA", at positions 28 to 506 of the family's 1533-position model. The record is from RNAcentral.